GCGCUCGCUUUGGCAGCACGUAUACUAAAAUUGGAAUGAUACAGAAAAGAUUAGCAUGGCCCCUGCACAAGGAUGACAUACAAAUCUGUGAAGCCUUCCAUAUUUUC
Molecule: small nuclear RNA, 107 nt
Filed under: Pteropus alecto (black flying fox)
Lineage: Eukaryota; Metazoa; Chordata; Mammalia; Chiroptera; Pteropodidae
Source: RNAcentral